UUAUGUUUCAGUAACAAUACGUAUACCAAAAAGAAUAAGUGUCUGUCAAGGACUCUGCUUAGGUGCUACUCAAGAAAAUUAAUUUAAUUUGGCAGAGGAACAAUGGGAAAAAGAUUUAGAGGCUGAAUUAAAGGAUUACGAAGUGGUUAGUGAAAGUGGUGGUGAUGGAGGCGGCGGCAUUGGUACAUUAACAAGUAUCAAUAUUGGUGCGGAUACUGACGACGAAUUACCGACAAUAUCAAAUCUGCGCACACGUUCAACAAACAACGACUGGGAAGAAAUGGCCGAUCUCAUUGAAGAUACCGAUGAUUUAAAAACUUUAAAAAGCUUAAAACGUGUUAUGCUGGGUUAUCAAUGAGAUCAGGGGUUUUUUACAAUUUUUUAGUUCACAUAUUUUUAUAAUAAAAUA
Molecule: long non-coding RNA, 409 nt
Organism: Teleopsis dalmanni
Lineage: Eukaryota; Metazoa; Arthropoda; Insecta; Diptera; Diopsidae
Exons: 3
Source: RefSeq, a predicted model, not a curated record